CUUACAUGAUACUUCCAGAAGUUCUCCCUGAGCAGGAAGCAAUAGCACAUCCAGGAAUUCAGAGAAACUUUUUGGUUGUGUGAUUAACACUGAGUUACAAUAUAGAGAAUUUUUUCUAAAUUAAAAUCAUUAACCUUUGAAAAAGAUGUGUUGAAAGUUAGUUUGUCAGUUUAGAAAUGGAAGAGUAAAGCUUCCCUUAGUCUAUUUUGAAAGCUCCAGCCUACACAUAUUUGCAAGUUUCUCCCAGAAAAUACUGCUCAGGUGUAAUAGCUGCCAGAGGAUGGUGAGACAGUGCACUGCUCUGGUGUUAGUCACUCAUUGACAAACUGCCUGCUUUUGCCACUAGAUUUAUACAGCCAUUUAAAGAGAGAAAAUUCAGGAGCAGCAGACUAAACCAGAGCGGCAUAAUGUGCUAUUUCUUCACCUAAUGGAAAUGUCUGCUUCCGUGGUCACCCUUCUGUCUGCCCAUGAAAUUCUGUGCCUUGAAAGGCAGCCCUAUGUUUUAUAUAGGACAAAUCUAAUUAAAGAGGCUUUUCUUCUCCUUCUAAGGGAACAUUUUUUGAGGUCCUUUAUUGCCUGUCUAUACAAGGUUCAACCCCACUCCCAAGGCCAGGCUUGUCCAUCCUCAUUGAUGGUCCCACUGUGAGAGGGAUCUCACCUUUAUUCAUUCUCAUGGUCUGUCUGGAAGGAACACCAGUAAACUCAAGUCCAUCCUCCUUCAGGUUUCAAAUCCAUUUCUUCCUGAGAUGAGCACAGACAUCUUCAACUUACCUGUGCUGAAUCAUAACAAUCCUAUGGAGGAGUUUGCCCAAAUCCACUCCCAACCAGAAUCAUCUUGCACAGACACAACAGAAGUUGGUUUGUGCAGGAUCCAGGGGCUGCAGGCUUAGAAGAGGUGCAUCUCUGGGCCUCAGUUCAGCAGUCCUUUUAAUGGGCCCAGUCAUAUCAGCCUCAAAAAGCACCUUGAGCAAUUUAGAUAAGCCAUUUAGCAAGCAGUGCUCUUAAUAGACUCUGACAGCCAAACGGGGAUAACACUUCUCACUGCUAUAAAUUAAAGGAGAGAUUUCCUUUUCUCAUGAGGACUUGGAAUAGUGUUAGCAAACACAUUUCCUGAUGGCUUUUUCCUUUCUGUCUAACUUCAGAAUACAUCACUUUGGGGACUGUAUCCACCCCUGAACUGCUCCUGUCUGCCUCCCCCUGCUGCUGCCUGCUCUGUCAGCAGUCUGGGAUGCAGCCCGUGACAUUUUUCACUCCUUGUCUCAGAGGCACAUGGUGCUGAGUCCUGCCCAGAUGCUCCUGCAGGCCUUUCUGUGAAGUCUAAGGAUAGAGCUGUUCAACUGAGUGAUACUCAUAGCAAGAGAGGCAGUCUUGAGAAAGAAAAUCAGACUAAAAGCAGCCUUGCCUCAGAUGGUGCAAACAGUUGAAGAAGAACUUGAUUUCAAUUUAAAGGGCACUUCUUUGCCAGUUCUGAAGUGCAGUGUGUGGUAAUAAGAGAUGAUUAUGCUACACAAUAGCCUGAAUAUAGUAACUGAGGCAUGUUGAAAUUAAAGGAGAUUUCUUCAUAUGAGGCAUGAUGUAAUGAUUUCUGUCAUGCUUACAGCCAGCAAUGAAAUUAGCAACUCAUUACAUACCCAAACCAGGCAAAUAUUUAAGGCUGCAGGUAGUAUAUAAGUAAGAAAACCAAAGCCAGUCUAAGGACCUAAAGGCUGAGUGCAUUCCCUACUUUAUUUAUUAGACCAGAAUAGAAGAAACUAGAAAUAACCAUUUACUGCUCUGAGCAUCCUGUCAAUUAUUUCAAACGACAAACCCAAAAUGCAAUAUGAACAUCUCCCUGCUUCUAGCAAAGCACAAUACCUACUCAAAUAUUCCUCCCCCUCCUUUCCAACCAGAACUUUAAUUCAUUUCUCUUUCUCCCAGUGCCAGGUCAAGUAGAUGAAUAUUGCAAGCACUGCUGAUAGAUGCAAUAGCCAAGCAUUCUUUUCCUCAUUUUUCAAUGAAAAGUAGGGAUUGUUGCUGAAAAUGCAAUGAAAACAUGUUACAGUGUCUGUUUUUAGCAGAAGGCUUGUAAAUUACUAGGCCUUUGUUCCUUGUUCUGAGUUUUCUUGAGAGACUUCUUUUUCUCUUCUGUGAUUAGCUACCUGGUAAUAUUUUGACCUAAGAACUUCUCUGCUCUCUUCUACCUUUUAACUCACUACAGCUUGAGAGGAUGAGUAGCAAGGAGAAAAGUAUCUGAAAAGCUGCUGAUGCUCUUGCUGUUCAACCAGCACAUCUUUCUCUCCUUUCAUCUCACUUAGAGGUUAACAGUAUGUGAUGCAUUAUCCUGAAAGAAUUAACUUCUUAGCAUCAUUAAUAAUUAGUUUUACAGGUAUUGCCAUUAUUUAGAUGUAAACCAAGAAAACUGUUUUUCCCAGACCCAUAAGAAGAGUACUCUGUUAUGACAAUAGCUGUGAAACCAUGGAUGAAAACCUGUCACCCUGGAAAUCUCUGGCAGGACUUCUUAGAGUGCCAGUACCUGUAUUUUCAAACAAAUCAAGUGCCUGAAUCCCUUUGAAGAGCUCAGAUCAGCCAGAUCAGGCAAUGGCACUGCAGCAUACAGCUGGUCUGGGUGGGCCUGUGAAUCUGUUUACAGAUAUGACCCCACGGCACUGAGAGCAGAAUUUAGCCAAGGACUGCUGAAAGAAUUUAAGAGGUUCAGAUGCCCAAAUCCAUGAUUCCUCCUUCCACUCCCACUACAAAUAUUUCCCAUUCAUGCCUGAUCUGACUGCCCACAACUGGUGUAAGGCUGCAGACACACAUUCUCCUCUGGAGCAUCUGUGCUGCUCAAAGAGGUUCUGCCCCCAGCCCACACCCAUCUGUCUCCUCUCCCUCUUGCUCUGUCUCUAGUUUUUAAAGUCACCUGAUUCCCUCCAAGCCCUCCAGAUGUCUAUCCAAAUCUCACUGAUAUUCCAAGAACCACUGAAGGCUGGGCCACAAAGUAGGAAAUGAGGAAUUUUUUCACUGAAAGGGAAAAACAUUAUUUUCCAUUUUCUAAUUAAGGAAAAUAAAUGGAAAGGAGGAGAUUUGGGGGCGGGGGUCAGCCUGAAGUCCAGGAUAAAAGGUGAAUUUCUCAUUGUCUUCACUUUGUUGCUUUCUUAAAUUUUUGUACAGCAGAAAAUCCAGCAUGGUGAAUGUCCAUUGUUUUUCAGAUCUGCUCUGGGUUGUGCUGCAGGGGAAUCACCCUUUCUCUAGGGGAUGCACACAGUCCCCAGCCAGGAGACAUGCUCACUUGGUGCAUAAACAAACCUGAAGGUGACUACACCAGAUGAAAUAUUAAUAACAACUCCUCCUUUCCAUUUCCACCACACCUCUGGUGAUUGUUUGCACCCAUACAAACCUGCUCAUGAGGACUCCUGGAGCUGCAGGAUAGAAGCACAAUUAAUGCACAACGUGCUCACCCUGGCCUGUCACACCAACAGACUGCAUCAAGGAGUUGUCAGGCUGCAAGAAGAACCUUCCUGCAGACCCAGAGAUUUCCACCUGGAAAUAUUCUCAUCCACGAGCCUUGGCACACACACCCUCCACCCUGUCCUGUGUGCAGGGCAGCCUUGUGCCACAUGUCCAGAUUUUCAUAUCCACAAUCAUAGAAAGCCACAUGAUGUUUUGUUUCAUAUUUAUGUAUAAGUGCUACAAAGCUUUCUGAUGCUCCAUAUUCUCUUUGCAAGCAGAAAAGAAGAAGCAGUUUCAUCCCUUUUCUUCAGACUUGUGCCAUUUUCCCCCUUUCAGGAUCAGCAAUUGUCAGGCUGUUGUUUAACAAUCCCUUGUGCUGGUGCUGUUUGUGGUGACUAAAACUCUUGCUUUCUCUAACAAAAGGCUUUUUAUUGUUACUUUUUCCUCCACUGAAUGAGAUAAUAAGGGCAAGCGAUUUUUGAUUUAACCUCCUGCUGCUAAGUUUUCAAAUUUUAAAGUGUUAACAAAAGAGAAUGCAUGUUUUCAGUGUUGAAAGCUCUGAUUAUACUAUGGUAAAAAUUUAUAAAAAUCAAAGGCAAGCAGACAAUAGCAAGCUAGAGAUAUGUGACUCUCUUUAACUGCUGGCCUCCUGUAAUAGAAAUGGAACUUUGUCAAGAAAGCAAGCUGUAAAGAGAGACUGUUCUACCAAGUCUUAGACUGUAUCCAUUCUUGAUAGAUUUAGUUAACCUACAAGGGAACAACAGUAUUGACAUAUAUCACUUUGAAAAAUGCCAGCUGAAUGAGGUAUUUUUGUUUCCUGGGUUACGUGCUGAAGCCAUGUCAUUUGUUCUGGUUUUUUUCAGUCCCUGCUAACACAUUCUGUUCCUGUAUUUUAUGAUUAUAUGUUCACUCUCUGAACUACCCCAAAGAUAUUGAUUGCAUUUUUUUUGGAGAGUGAGCAGUGUUUCAGUCUAUAUGAAACUCUCAUUUUUGUUCUUAUUUAUGUAAUCUUUUGGACUAGAAAUACAAUUAGAUGAGUAAAAUUACUAUUCUAACAAUCCUUUAAACCUGGUAAAUUAUUCUUGGUAGGGAAACUUCUGGUUCCAUAGUUUUCCUCAGCUGACAUAACACACAAGAAAGAUUUACUCCCAAAGGAGGAAACUAAUGAAAUUACUUAAAUUUAGGUGUUAUCCCAGUAGGUUUUUCCUAAUAAUUAAUCACUGCCUGGUCCUGUGCCUUUCAAGCCUCCAUCCUGGAAGGAUAAUGAAUAUUAAGGAAAGAAACCUUUUGGUUUUUUGAGUCUUCAUUAAAACUAAGGAUACAGCUGCCUGCUGAGGCACCUCACAAGGCAGACACAGAUCUGGGAUUUUAAGAUUCAGAUCUGUUAAUAUUCAGAGCAUGACCAGAACACCAAACCAAUAUGGUCAAUGUCACCACUGCUGUUAGUCACAGCUUGUUUGGGGAGAAGAGUUUGGGUCAGGCUUGUCAACAACGUUUGAUGCAAACAAAGCUUUUACAAGAGGAUUGUUCUCUUUUCCUCUCAUUCUCUUGUCUUCUAUUUCCUGCAUGUGUAGUGAGUGGACAUCUGUGUGGGCAAACUGCUCUCUGUGGUGUCCUGCUGACACCCCACCAAAUCUGUGUGCUGGUAAGAUUCCUGCUGCUGUUGCUCAGGACCCUGAUUUGAUCUCUCCCUGCUCCCUUCCUGGGAGAACCAUCCCUGGGUGUUCAGGAAGGGAGCUGAUGUUUAGGAAGGGAGCUGAUGGUGUUGAUAGCAGCUCAGAGCAGCUCUGCUCCCAGGCUAGUGCCAGAAAACAGAUGUGUGAUAUGCCCCAGCCUUGGCAGAUGCACAUGCCAUAUUCCAUUAAAAGGGGUUAUCCAACUUUCUGUCACAUUGAGGGUGAGCAGCUCUUCUCUUUUGCAUCAAAGCCUUAACAGGCAAAAAGAGUGAGCUCCUAGGGGAGGUAAGAACUCAAAGGAAAACUUCCCAGAGUGUGUCAGCACUGGAUGAUUGUCUAUGUGAGAGGUUGCUAUGCCCACAGCCUGGGCUGCUCUAACUCUGGGAUCACUCUAAUGCACAUCCAAGGCUGAACUAAUUCACUCUGCUUUUCCUAAGGCAGCUUUGGAGCCUGGCUAAUGUGGUCAUGGAGCAUCUGGAAUGGUUUGGCAUGCACGAAGAGCAAGCUCCCCACAGAGCAAAGGCAGGGCUUGCAGGAAUAAACCCUUGGUACCACUGAACUCCAGGAGGAGUGGCUCCAGGAGAACUCAGGAAGGAGCAGAAAGCUGCACAACAGCCUAAGAGCAACUACACAGAUAAUUGAUGUGCUGGUUGGAUGUCAGGUUUGGGUGGGAGGCUCCAGCCUGGGCUUCAGGCACUGAACUGCUCCCGUGUUUUAAGCUCACACUUGGUUCUGGUGCCAUCAGUGGUGUUGUGGAAUUGUGUGGAUGGACUGUUGGAGAGGCUCUUUCUGAUAUUCACAAGCAAAAUUAUUGCCAUCCCACUAGCCACUUCUGGUCUUUAUAGGAAAGCUGUUAUGAUCCAUGUUUUAUGGUCUUAGGGUAUGAAUUGUAUAACCAAAGGGACUAACCCCACUUUGGUGAAUGGCUGAAAAUGUUUACUAUAGGAAAAAAAAUGAAAUUAUACUGAGAAACAUUACUUUUAUAAAACAAUUUGUGCUGAGAAGAUGAGUGUGCUAUGAAAAGCACAGGAUUUUGCUGGAAGUGUGCCAGAGCAACACUGUCCCAAAGUGAUUGAUUUGACUUCACUACAAAUUUGCUUAAUUCAGAUGAAUGACUGGGCUUUGGGCCGGUUGGUAUUUUAGGUGGAAAUGAUCCAAAAUGGGAGUUGAGUGGAGAAGAUUUGGGAAAAGUCUUCAUAGAUAAAGACUUAGACCCAAGCCAGCUCUCAGGAGUGGUUGUUUUUCUGCUCCAAGUUAUUCAGAAACCCAAACUGCAGGAGGAUUGCAGUGAAUGGGUUUGAUUUUGAGAGUCUACAGCACAAUGUGAGACAAUGGGCACAUUAAAACCUACAUUAAGUUGAAUAAUGAAUAAUGAAACUACAUACAGAUUGAAUAAUGCUGAAUCAAUACAUGAAUGGAAGUGUGUGACAGGGGUUGCUAUGGCAUCUCCCUUAUUUAAUAAAGGAAUAAAUAAAGGAAUUGAAAUCUCCAUAAAUGGUCUCAGCAGAAAUUAGAGCUGCUCCUGGUGACUCUGAUAUAUACAGUAGUAUUUUUUGAAAAUAAAUUAUCUUCCUCCAUAAACAAGAAUAGGUUUUUUGGAUCAUCUUUAAAAUUAUUUUCAAAUUUGUCUAAAUUUAUGCCAAUUCCAGUUGAACUGUCCCUGAAGCUUCACUUGGGGAGUAGGGAAGUUAUGAGCAGAGAGCUGUAGAAGUGUUUUGUUCAAAUUUCUGGUUUGUGCUGGACAUGUCAGAGGACAAGCAAAAUAGAGCCCAAAAUGCAGUUCCUUGGAGAAUGUGGCAUCUAAGCCUGAAAGAACUUCAGCCCUGAAUUUUAUUACUUGACUUAACAAAGAAGGGAUAGUAACAAGAUUUACUCAAUGCCCCUGAGCUGGAAAAUCCCCAUUUACAUUCCAGAUGGAGAUGCCAGACCACAUCCUCAUAUGUAAAAUCAGGGUGUCCAUGGAAUUAAUUGAAUUACACAAUUUGGGUGUGGAAGGAUGAAAGGGCAAGAGAGUUAUAUAAAACAGAUAAUUAAUCUAUGAAGCUGUGAUCUGGUUUUACUUGUCAAACAUUGAUUUUCCCAUUUAGCCUUACCAGGAUGUGAUGAUAUCACACACACAUUGAAAGAGUUUUGUCUGAUCUGAGCUUUCAAGGCGUGGUAUUAAUUACAUGUCAUCAAUCAUGGGUUGUAGUUCUUCAUCUUGAACAGGACAGUGCUGAUGCUGCACAUCACAUCUUGUAGGUGUUCAGAUGUGUAAUUAGUGGCAACAGAUAUUUAUAUUUUCUCAGUAGCAUCUCUUAUUAAUAAAAUCUCAAUUAUUCUAGCAAACAUUUCCCUCAAAUGAACAGGAAAAGGGCAUAUCAUGGCAAAAGAAAAUAUAAAGACAAUUUGGAUGAAGCUUCUUAAAAUUAAUUUUUUUUUUCUUCAAUUUAAAGGUUGAGUGGAGGUUUCUCUGUGCUUGAGCAUUUGUUACCCCUUAAAUGUAACACACCCACCACAUCUCCUACUGUUCCUGGAGAGUGUAUCAACCUCUAAAUGAAUAAUUUAAAGCUAAGUUAACUUUCCUGAGAAGGAGUUUACUGAAUAGAUGUAACUGGUGCCCGCUAGUUAUCACAUUCCAGGGUACUUGAUGAAUAAAUUAUCUUUUUUCCCCCCAGCAUGAAACAGUCCUAAUUUUUGGAAAUACAUUUGCUCAAAAUAUCCAAAAAAAGUCAAAUAUAUUUUUAUGUGUGAAGAGCCUUCACUCACUUGAGUCACAGGCAUCUAUUUCCACAACAAAAUGUAAAAACCAAAUGACAAAUGAUUAAUGUUUUUCUUAGGAGAAAAUAUCAUUGUUUGCUUGCAGAAUCAGGCACUUUCAUGUGCUUGAUUUAAAGCUUAUCAGCCACAGAAAGGUCAUGCACCUUGUGUAGGUCAGGCAGAUGAAGAACCCAUCUUUUCCCACAUUUUUGUGAAAAGAGAAAACAGCUCAUGGGGAUAUUUAAAAGUAGCCAAAAAGUUCAUUCAAAGGGGUCCUUAUCUCUUGCUGUUUGUCCGAGUUGCAGCUGAAGAAAAUGGAGCAGAAUUAUAAGGAAACCCUUCACCCUUGUGGGUCUGUGCAGCCUCCCUGUUAUGAAAGGGAUGCACUUCCAGUUACUUACAGUCAGUGAACUGCUGGAGUUAAUCAAAAGUAUAAAUAAUUUGCAACAAGAGGAUGAAUGGGGCUGGGAAAAUUAUUUGUCCAUGUAUUGAUUGCAAGUGUAUUUUUCAAGUUCCCCAUGAUCUGAUUUUUUUUCCAUGGGUGGCAAAACAAAUUGGGCCAGAUCAUUAACUGCAAACUCAGCACCAUUUGAACUGAAUUCAGAACUGCUGGACAGUUUGCCUUUCUGUAAGUCUGCUCUGUAAAUCAGCAAACAAAAUCUGGCAGCUGAAUAUUUUAUUCUCAAUAAUAAACUAUACUUGGGAAUGCAUGUGCUCUCUCCUGUG
Molecule: long non-coding RNA, 8567 nt
Organism: Passer domesticus (house sparrow)
Lineage: Eukaryota; Metazoa; Chordata; Aves; Passeriformes; Passeridae
Exons: 3
Source: RefSeq, a predicted model, not a curated record